AGGGUGUAAACGCUGCAGACUUGGUGUUGGAGGCCCUUUGGGGGCAUUCAGUGCCGGAGAGAAGUUGUUAAGUCUGCUACUUGGGGAGUACGUCCGCAAGGAUGAAACUUAAAGGAAUUGGCGGGGAGCACCGCAACGGGAGGAGCGUGCGGUUUAAUUGGAUUCAACACCGUAAAACUCACCAGGGAAGACUGUUACAUGAAGGCCGAGAUGAAGACUCUGCUAGAUUUUCAGAGAGGUGGUGCAUGGCGUCAGUGACU
This 260-nucleotide ribosomal RNA is filed under the name uncultured archaeon. Its description in RNAcentral is "partial 16S ribosomal RNA". It matches the Rfam family "Archaeal small subunit ribosomal RNA", at positions 748 to 1008 of the family's 1478-position model. The record is from RNAcentral.